CAGGAGUGGAAGCUGGACACACUAUGUGACUUGUAUGAAACCCUGACCAUCACCCAGGCAGUCAUCUUCAUCAACACCCGGAGGAAGGUGGACUGGCUCACCGAGAAGAUGCAUGCUCGAGAUUUCACUGUAUCUGCCAUGCAUGGAGAUAUGGACCAAAAGGAACGAGACGUGAUCAUGAGGGAGUUUCGUUCUGGCUCUAGCAGAGUUUUGAUUACCACUGACCUGCUGGUGAGUAGAGGGAACUGACAGGAAAGGCAGAAGGGAGGAUCCAAGGUGAUUCCCUCUCCAAGGGGACAUCAGUGCCUCUCAGGAAAGUAGCAGCUUGGAAUAGAAUCUGGCAUGCCUAAGGCCUUUGGGGAACUGGGAUGCUUAUUUCCUCUGCCUUCCUUGGCUGCCCACAUGGAUGCCUAAGUGUCUUCCCUCCGGGAUAGUGUCCUCCGUGCACAUGCUGAAGAGUUGUCUUUCUUGACGUAGGCCAGAGGCAUUGAUGUGCAGCAGGUUUCUUUAGUCAUCAACUAUGACCUUCCCACCAACAGGGAAAACUAUAUCCACAGGUAAGUGUAAAUCUGGAAUACUCCCCCACCCCUUCACGCCUGGCCCUCCCUGGGCUUAAAGC
RNAcentral lists this small RNA (619 nucleotides) under Pongo abelii (Sumatran orangutan). RNAcentral describes it as "retained intron". The stretch from base 270 to 406 matches the Rfam family "Small nucleolar RNA SNORA67". Lineage: Eukaryota; Metazoa; Chordata; Mammalia; Primates; Hominidae. The record is from RNAcentral.